AAAACGAUGUUGAUUAGGAGUAGUAAGUACAGUGUUUUGUCUCAGCGAGUCGAGGAUAGUGUAAGCUCGAUACAAUAGCUAUGCUGAAGACACCUAUAAAUUGGUCUUCUGAAAUAAUGUAGGGGGAUCCGUGACCAGCGUUAAUGGUAAAGUGGGACUUUGUCCAACUAGGGUGGCACCGCGGGAAUAAACCUCUCGUCCCUUCU
RNAcentral lists this non-coding RNA (206 nucleotides) under Alkaliphilus metalliredigens. RNAcentral describes it as "T-box sequence". It matches the Rfam family "T-box leader". From Rfam's summary of the family: Uncharged tRNA acts as the effector for transcription antitermination of genes in the T-box leader family. T-boxes are found upstream of many aminoacyl-tRNA synthetase genes and some amino acid biosynthetic genes usually in Gram-positive bacteria. The record is from RNAcentral. Lineage: Bacteria; Bacillati; Bacillota; Clostridia; Peptostreptococcales; Natronincolaceae.